AUUGAACGCUGGCGGCAGGCCUAACACAUGCAAGUCGAGCGAGCGGCGGACGGGUGAGUAAUGUAUGGGAAUCUGCCUGAUGGAGGGGGAUAACUACUGGACACUGUAGCUAAUACCGCAUCCUAUCGGAUGAGCCCAGAUGGGAUUAGGUAGUAGGUGGGGUAAAGGCUCACCUAGGCGACGAUCGCUAGCUGGUCUGAGAGGAUGACCAGCCACACUGGGACUGAGACACGGCCCAGACGCCUACGGGAGGCAGCAGUGGGGAAGAUUGCACAAUGGGGGCAAGCCUGAUGCAGCCAUGCCGCGUGAAUGAAGAAGGCCUUCGGGUUGUAAAGUACUUUCAGCGGGGAGGCGUUACCCGCAGAAGAAGCACCGGCUAACUCCGUGCCAGCAGCCGCGGUAAUAC
This 406-nucleotide ribosomal RNA is filed under the name uncultured bacterium. RNAcentral's name for it is "partial 16S ribosomal RNA". It matches the Rfam family "Bacterial small subunit ribosomal RNA", at positions 29 to 526 of the family's 1533-position model. The record is from RNAcentral.